CUGAAGUGCUUUUUCUCCCACAAGUUAGAAUGUUAUACAAAUUUCAUCUCUCUCUACCAGGUUUUCAGGGCAUCUUCUUUGUCCUAUGCUAAAUAGGAGUAGUUUUUUACAGUACAAAGAUAAGAAGUUGGAUGUAUGCUUGUUUUAUAAAGCAAGAGUUCUUCAUCCAAUUCCAGAGGGCAAAAUGAUGAAAAGGCCAGCUUCCAAGAGCUACCUGCAGCCAGAGUCCACAAAGCACAUCCCAUGUGGGGAGCUAUGGUCACGGUGAGCUGGCAGAGCUGUGCUUUGGGGAAGGGCUUGCUGACACUCCUUGGUACACAAGGCAACAAGGAAGAGACAACAGCUAUCAGGACCAGGCUUCAUCACUCUGGUUCUGAAACAAUCUUCAGCAGCAUUUCAUAGACAAAUGGCCUUGUCAGUUUGUAUUUAAGGAAACCAUGUGGCAGGUUCAUAUAAAUAGGUAGAACAGUUUCAAGCAAUAAGGAUUUCCUUCAUCCGCCACUUAGAUGUUGCAAAGACUGAUCUGAAGGUCAUGGAAAGGAAGAGGAUGCAAUUUAGUUGUAAAGAGACCACAGAAAGAUAAAAGCUCAGACUGAAAAUUCAGACUGAGAUUUUGUUUGCCUGCUAGAUGAAUGUGAAGCCAGUCGCACUUAGUGUUUCAUGUAAAUGCUGUUCAUGAUUUUCAAUGUUCAGUCUCUGAAAUGAAAUUAAAAGGAAGAACAUAUUAUUAAAAUUUGAAUGGUUAAAAUUAUUACAUUAUUGAAAUCAUUUGUAACUGGAAAAGGAAAAAAAUAUCAAUGACAGAAGAAAAAUAGAUAAAUAGAUAAAUAAAUAAAUAAAUAAAUGAUAUAAUGAAAAUAGA
This 862-nucleotide long non-coding RNA is filed under the name Coturnix japonica (Japanese quail). RNAcentral describes it as "lncRNA (ENSCJPG00005004725.1)". The record is from RNAcentral. Lineage: Eukaryota; Metazoa; Chordata; Aves; Galliformes; Phasianidae.